Molecule: long non-coding RNA, 2811 nt
Organism: Manis javanica (Malayan pangolin)
Lineage: Eukaryota; Metazoa; Chordata; Mammalia; Pholidota; Manidae
Source: RefSeq, a predicted model, not a curated record
GGGCACUCACUCGGCGUAGCCUGCGUUCCAGGGCAGCGCGCGGCCCCGGGCUGGGCUGCGCACGGGCCGAACGUCCGGACGGCGCGAGGCGUCGGCGGCGCCGGGGCCCGAGCCCGAGCCGCGCAGGAAGCGGGGCCGCCGGCAAGAUAAUUGAGGCCUAGAGAAGCCAAGACGCUGGCCCCGUAACACGCAGGAACCCGAGGAGGCUGAAUGUUCAUCCACGGAGGUGGAGCGCGAGGCUUGCAGCGGGGAAAAUCUGCCCUCCUGGCCCCCGCACCCAACGAGGCCACAGGGGUCGCUCAGAGCACACCCCGGGCCUCCAGGCUGGGUCAGGGACCUGGGCCUCCUGCUCCUGGCCCAACCUUACGCAAGGACAAGCCGGGGACAGGAUGUCCUUGGAGGUGUCAGACUGACACACUGAAUAAGAAUCUCAGAGCACGGUGUUCCCUCGGGUGGCCUCCGUUCCUCACCCACACGGCCUGGCACCCCUCCUCCCUAGAUGGGGCUGGGGCUUGGAGGCCACCCUGGCUUCCUCAUCCCCAGAUAUGGCUGCCUGCCUUUGGGGCCAGUCUCUCAAACGGCUGCCACUCCAUAAAGUUCUCUCUGGACAAACAGCAGGAUCCUCACCAGGCCCAGUGCCCCUGUGUGCUCCUGUGAUUUCCAUCUCAUCUCCUAACAAGGACUCUGAAGCCACAGAGGGGAAGUACCCUGAUGCCCAGGGUUGUGCUGUUUCCAUUAUGAUGAUGCAGCUGACAAACCCCCGACCCCACACCCACACACACACACACAGUGCAUUUCUCUUCCCCUUUCCUCCUCCAGGAAGACAGACUUGGCAACUCCAAGUCCCUGAGGCUCCUGGUCCAGUGCCCCCUGGAAGGGGUCUACAGAAGAGGUCCCUCCCUCUGCCUUGCUCCAAAGCCCAGUGCAUGUUCAACUAGGCCAUACUUCUUUGGGUGGCCAGCCCUGCCCCACUGGGAGUUCCCUCUGCCCAAGGGGGAAUGUUCUUGGGGUGUCCAGCACCCCUUGCCAGAUGACUCAGCUCCAGAGCAGCCUGGGAGCUGAUUUCUGGUCUGAGCCAGUCCCUGUGCUGGGUGCACCUCACUAAUGGGGUGGGCUCCCCUGUGGUGAUAGUGGAAGUCCUGGUGGACAGAGCUGGGUGGCUGGAAGGGGUGGGGGCAGAGUCAGAGAAAACUUCCCAAAGGACACCUGAGCUAUGAACUGUCACUGUGACAAAAAUGGACCAGGUACCCAGGGUGAGGCAGACCCAAUUCAGUCUGUGGGGUCACCUCCUCAGACACGCAGCCAAUGGCUCAGAGGCUUUUAAUGUUUAAAGUAGAGGAAACAAUGUAAACACAGUCUGUUUUCCCAACCCACUGCUUGAACGUCGCUGGAUGGGUUGGAGUUCCUGUUUUCUAAGGUGUAUUCAGAGCAGUUCCUGGAAGCCAGACAUCACAGGUGGUCUGUUGCCAGGUUAGCUGUUUUGUUUUCAGAGCCAAGUAGAGCCUUAUCCUCCCACCCUCCCGUUCCAAGGUGGCCUGAGGGUUCCUUCAGUGUCACCCAGUCUCCCAGCUCCCAAGGCUCCUGGGAACCUCUGCUCUCACCUGGAUCCCAAGGCUGACUCUCUUACUCCCUUAUUUUGUUGAAGCACACACUCGAACAACUUUCUAAGAAAGGAUGGCUAGAAAGUGAUUCCCCAGAUCCUUGUAAGUCCGAAAGGGUUUGUAUUCGCCUUUGCUUUUGAUUGACAUUUUGGCUAAGGAUUCUAACAGCUCUGUUCAUUGUCUUCUGACUUGCUGGUGCUGAAAUCCAGGGCCCAGCCCCUUCCCAGGUCUUGGGAUUGGCUCCUGGAAGCCCUUUUUUCUGUCUCCAGAAGCUUCCAGGCUCUGUCUGUGGUGUCUGAAACUGUGAGCCUCUAGGAGUGGACCUGUCUUCAUUCCCCGUCUGAGCCCUCUCUGGGGACCACGCAACUCCUCCAUCCACAGUGACACCCUUCUCCCACUGCUAGAAUGAACCCAAGCGUGCCCCUCCUCACCAGCUCAGCCAGCUUGUGAGGAGGUGGGGGAACAGCAAGCUUAGAAAAAAGAAAAAGAUUCUUAUGCUACAUUUUUUUUCACUCCCAAUGAAAAUAGCUUUUGUUGAGUUCUGUAUCUGUUCUUAACAAGAUUUAUUUAGAUUUUUAAAAUUGAAUACUUUUGCACAACUCAAAAUUCAAAAGGUAUAAAGUGUAUCUAGCAACAAGUCUCCCCUACAACCGUCCCUGGCCACCCAGGUCCCUCCGUGGAGACAAUCAGUACUACCAAUUUCUUGUGGAUCCUUCCAGAGAUGUCAGGGGUAUUUCGUGCCAAUUCAGGUGCACAUGCUUAUGCACACGCGCACACACACACACACACACACACACACACACACACACACACACACACGAAAUAAUAAGUGUUGACAAGUAUGUAGAGAAAAAGGAACCUUCAUGCACUGUGGUGGGAAUGUAAAUUGGUGCAGCCACUAUGGAGAACAGUAUGGAGGUUCCUCAAAAAAUUAAAAAUAGAAAUACCAUAUGAUCCAGCCCUUCCAUUUGUGGGUAUUUAUCUGAAGAAACCAUCAUCAAUAUCUCAAAAACAUAUUCACACUUCCAUGUCCACUGCAGCAUUAUUUACAAUAGCGAAGACAUGGGAACAUCUUAAAGUGUCCAGUUUUUUGAUGAAUGGAUAAAGAAAAUGUGAUGUACACAUGUAGUGGCAUAUUAUUCAGCCACUAAAAAAAAAGGAAAUUCUGUCAUUUGUGACAACAUGGAAGGACCUUGAGGCCAUUAUGCUA